This 1006-nucleotide ribosomal RNA is filed under the name Chapsa sp. RL-2012b. RNAcentral's name for it is "eukaryotic LSU rRNA". It matches the Rfam family "Eukaryotic large subunit ribosomal RNA", at positions 89 to 1124 of the family's 3401-position model. The record is from RNAcentral. Lineage: Eukaryota; Fungi; Ascomycota; Lecanoromycetes; Ostropales; Graphidaceae.
GAAGUGGAAGCGGCAACAGCUCAAAUUUGAAAUCUGGCCUUUUGGUCCGAAUUGUAAUUUGUAGAAGGUGCUUCGGAUUUGAUAAUGGAUCAAGUUCUUUGGAAUUGGACAUCAGAGAGGGUGAUAAUCCCGUUUCGACCAAUUAUCUGUCCAUGUGAAGCCCUUUCGACGAGUCGAGUUGUUUGGGAAUGCAGCUCAAAAUGGGUGGUAAAUUUCAUCUAAAGCUAAAUAUCAGCCAGAGACCGAUAGCGCACAAGUAGAGUGAUCGAAAGAUGAAAAGCACUUUGAAAAGAGAGUUAAAAAGCACGUGAAAUUGUUGAAAGGGAAGCGCUUGCAACCAGACUUGCUCGUAGUGUUCAGCCUCCUGAAAAGGUGGUGCACUCUCUGCGAGCGGGCCAACAUCGGUUUUGGCGGUCGGACAAAAGCUCGAGGAAAGUAGCUCUCUACGGAGUGUGUUAUAGCCUCUUGCACAAUGCGGCCAGUCAAGACCGAGGACUUUUGCGCUUAUGCUAGGAUGUUGGCGUAAUGGUUGUCAGCGACCCGUCUUGAAACACGGACCAAGGAGUUGAGAAACUAUGCGAGCGUUAGGGUUUCAAACCCUUCCGCGUAAUGAAAGUGAACGUAGGUGGGAGCCUUUCGGGCGCACCAUCGACCGAUCUGAGUUCGCGAGGAUUUGAGUAUGAGUGUAGUUUUCCAGACCCGAAAGAAGGUGAACUAUUGCUGACUAGGGUGAAGCCAGAGGAAACUCUGGUGGAGGCUCGCAGCGGUUCUGACGUGCAAAUCGAUCGUCAAAGCUGGCAAUAGGGGCGAAAGACUAAUCGAACCUUCUAGUAGCUGGUUCCUGUCGAAGUUUCCCUCAGGAUAGCAGUAACGAUAACAGUCUCAUGAGGUAGAGCAACGAUUAGAAGCAUUGGGGUGUUAAACAUCUUAACUUAUUCUCGAACUCCGAAUAUGUGAGAAGUCCUUGUUUCUUAAUUGAACGUGGACAUUGGAUUACGUAGUGGCU